RNAcentral lists this ribosomal RNA (1021 nucleotides) under Acinetobacter sp. RNAcentral's name for it is "bacterial SSU rRNA". It matches the Rfam family "Bacterial small subunit ribosomal RNA", at positions 18 to 1033 of the family's 1533-position model. The record is from RNAcentral. Lineage: Bacteria; Pseudomonadati; Pseudomonadota; Gammaproteobacteria; Moraxellales; Moraxellaceae.
CCUGGCUCAGAUUGAACGCUGGCGGCAGGCUUAACACAUGCAAGUCGAGCGGAGUGAUGGUGCUUGCACUAUCACUUAGCGGCGGACGGGUGAGUAAUGCUUAGGAAUCUGCCAUUUAGUGGGGGACAACAUUCCGAAAGGAAUGCUAAUACCGCAUACGUCCUACGGGAGAAAGCAGGGGAUCUUCGGACCUUGCGCUAAAUGAUGAGCCUAAGUCGGAUUAGCUAGUUGGUGGGGUAAAGGCCUACCAAGGCGCCGAUCUGUAGCGGGUCUGAGAGGAUGAUCCGCCACACUGGGACUGAGACACGGCCCAGACUCCUACGGGAGGCAGCAGUGGGGAAUAUUGGACAAUGGGCGGAAGCCUGAUCCAGCCAUGCCGCGUGUGUGAAGAAGGCCUUUUGGUUGUAAAGCACUUUAAGCGAGGAGGAGGCUCUCCUAGAUAAUACCUAGGAUGAGUGGACGUUACUCGCAGAAUAAGCACCGGCUAACUCUGUGCCAGCAGCCGCGGUAAUACAGAGGGUGCGAGCGUUAAUCGGAUUUACUGGGCGUAAAGCGUGCGUAGGCGGCUGAUUAAGUCGGAUGUGAAAUCCCUGAGCUUAACUUAGGAAUUGCAUUCGAUACUGGUCAGCUAGAGUAUGGGAGAGGAUGGUAGAAUUCCAGGUGUAGCGGUGAAAUGCGUAGAGAUCUGGAGGAAUACCGAUGGCGAAGGCAGCCAUCUGGCCUAAUACUGACGCUGAGGUACGAAAGCAUGGGGACCAAACAGGAUUAGAUACCCUGGUAGUCCAUCCCGUAAACGAUGUCUACUAGCCGUUGGGGCCUUUGAGGCUUUAGUGGCGCAGCUAACGCGAUAAGUAGACCGCCUGGGGAGUACGGUCGCAAGACUAAAACUCAAAUGAAUUGACGGGGGCCCGCACAAGCGGUGGAGCAUGUGGUUUAAUUCGAUGCAACGCGAAGAACCUUACCUGGCCUUGACAUACUAGAAACUUUCCAGAGAUGGAUUGGUGCCUUCGGGAAUCUAGAU